This 2245-nucleotide ribosomal RNA is filed under the name Aquimarina brevivitae. Its description in RNAcentral is "partial 23S ribosomal RNA". It matches the Rfam family "Bacterial large subunit ribosomal RNA", at positions 1 to 2334 of the family's 2925-position model. Lineage: Bacteria; Pseudomonadati; Bacteroidota; Flavobacteriia; Flavobacteriales; Flavobacteriaceae. The record is from RNAcentral.
AAAGCAUAAGCUAAAUAAGGGCGUAUGGGGGAUGCCUAGGCUCUCAGAGGCGAAGAAGGACGUGAUAAGCUGCGAAAAGCUGCGGGGAGAAGCACAUAUUUGUUGAUCCGCAGAUAUCCGAAUGGGGCAACCCGGCAUAUUGAAGAUAUGUCACACCGCAAGGUGGGCGAACGUGGGGAACUGAAACAUCUAAGUACCCAUAGGAGAAGAAAACAACAGUGAUUCCGUUAGUAGCGGCGAGCGAACGCGGACUAGCCCAAACCGGUGCUGUUACGGCAGCAUUGGGGUUGUAGGACUACGAUAUAGUGUAAUCAAUGAAUUAGAAUCCUUUGGAAAGAGGAGCCAUAGACGGUGAUAGCCCGGUAUAGGUAAAGCGAUUAUAGUUAGUAGUAUCCUGAGUAGUGCGGGGCACGUGAAACCCUGUAUGAAUCUGGCGGGACCAUCCGCUAAGGCUAAAUACUCCUGAGAGACCGAUAGUGAACCAGUACCGUGAGGGAAAGGUGAAAAGAACCCUGAAUAAGGGAGUGAAAAAGACCCUGAAACCAUACGCUUACAAGCGGUCGGAGCCCAUUAGGGUGACGGCGUGCCUUUUGCAUAAUGAGCCUACGAGUUACUUUAUCUAGCAAGGUUAAGAUUUUUAGGAUCGGAGCCGUAGCGAAAGCGAGUCUGAAUAGGGCGAUUUAGUUAGGUUGAGUAGACGCGAAACCGUGUGAUCUACCCUUGGGCAGGUUGAAGCUUUGUUAACCCAAAGUGGAGGACCGAACCCGUUGACGUUGAAAAGUCUUGGGAUGACCUGAGGGUAGGGGUGAAAGGCCAAUCAAACUCGGAAAUAGCUCGUACUCCCCGAAAUGCAUUUAGGUGCAGCGUUGUGUUAGUUUUAUAGAGGUAGAGCUACUGAUUGGAUGCGGGGGCUUCACCGCCUACCAAUUCCUGACAAACUCCGAAUGCUAUAAAAUGAUGCACAGCAGUGAGGGCAUGGGUGCUAAGGUCCAUGUCCGAGAGGGAAAGAACCCAGACCAUCAGCUAAGGUCCCAAAAUAUAUGCUAAGUUGAAUAAACGCGGUUGAACUGCUUAGACAGCUAGGAUGUUGGCUUGGAAGCAGCCAUUCAUUUAAAGAGUGCGUAACAGCUCACUAGUCGAGCGGUUCGGCAUGGAUAAUAAUCGGGCAUAAGCAUAUUACCGAAGCUAUGGGAUAUUUAUAUCGGUAGGGGAGCAUUGUAGUGACGUUGAAGGUGAUUCGUGAGGAUUGCUGGAGUAGCUACAAAAGAAAAUGUAGGCAUAAGUAACGAUAAUGCGGGCGAGAAACCCGCACACCGAAAGACUAAGGUUUCCUCAGCUAUGCUAAUCAGCUGAGGGUUAGUCGGGACCUAACGCGAACCCGAAAGGGGUAGUGGAUGGCCAACGGGUUAAUAUUCCCGUACCUGCCGGAAUUAAAAGUGACGGAGGCGAAUAGAUGUUGCGUACUGACGGAAUAGUACGUUGAAGGGAACAGUAAUGUCCUGAUAGUACACGGAGGCUACGGCCGAAGUGAUAAUACAUCGAAUCGACUUCCAAGAAAAGCGAUCCAGGCAGCCCGUACCAUAAACCGACACAGGUAGUUGGGAUGAGAAUUCUAAGGUGCUCGAGAGAUUCAUGGCUAAGGAACUAGGCAAAAUAGACCUGUAACUUCGGGAGAAAGGUCGCCCCGAGCAAUCGGGGCCGCAGUGAAAAGGUCCAGGCGACUGUUUAUCAAAAACACAGGGCUAUGCGAAAUCGAAAGAUGAAGUAUAUGGCCUGACACCUGCCCGGUGCCGGAAGGUUAAGGGGAGACGUUAGCAUUAGCGAAGCGUUGAACUGAAGCCCCGGUAAACGGCGGCCGUAACUAUAACGGUCCUAAGGUAGCGAAAUUCCUUGUCGGGUAAGUUCCGACCUGCACGAAUGGUGCAACGAUCUGGACACUGUCUCAGCCAUGAGCUCGGUGAAAUUGUAGUAUCGGUGAAGAUGCCGGUUACCCGCUGUGGGACGAAAAGACCCCGUGAACCUUUACUAUAGCUUAGUAUUGACUUUGGAUAAGUAAUGUGUAGGAUAGGUGGGAGACUUUGAAGCGGCAUCGCCAGGUGUUGUGGAGUCAUUGUUGAAAUACCACCCUUUGCUUAUCUGAAGCCUAACCCCUGUAAGGGGGACAGUGCUUGGUGGGUAGUUUGACUGGGGUGGUCGCCUCCAAAAGAGUAACGGAGGCUUCUAAAGGUCUGCUCAGUACGGUUGG